ACUCAAAGGAAUAGACGGGGGCCCGCACAAGCAGCGGAGCGUGUGGUUUAAUUCGAGGGUACGCGAAGAACCUUACCUGGGUUUGACAUGCUAGUGGUAGGGAGGUGAAAGCCGACCGACUCUUCGGAGAGCUAGCACAGGUGCUGCAUGGUUGUCGUCAGCUCGUGCCGUGAGGUGUUCGGUUAAGUCCGCAAACGAGCGCAACCCUCGGCGUCAGUUACAAGUGUCUGGCGCAACUGCCCGUGGCAAACGGGAGGAAGGUGGGGAUGACGUCAAAUCAGCAUGGCCUUUAUAUCCAGGGCUACACACACGCUACAAUGGCGCGUACAAUGGGUUGCGAAGCCGCGAGGUGGAGCCAAUCCCGAAAGCGCGUCUCAGUUCAGAUUGUAGGCUGCAACUCGCCUGCAUGAAGUCGGAGUUGCUAGUAACCGUGUAUCAGCACGGCACGGUGAAUACGUUCCCGGGCCUUGUACACACCGCCCGU
RNAcentral lists this ribosomal RNA (484 nucleotides) under uncultured bacterium. RNAcentral describes it as "partial 16S ribosomal RNA". It matches the Rfam family "Bacterial small subunit ribosomal RNA", at positions 899 to 1397 of the family's 1533-position model. The record is from RNAcentral.